AUGCUCACAAUCCUUCAGUGGAGUUUGAGAUUGAUGACUCAAGUAAUGGUGAUACAAGUGGACCAAAUUCUGUUAGCAAUUCCUACAUUAUCAGCUGUUAGAACAGUUGAUGAGCCCUAUAUGGGUCAGGAGUUUGUAUCAGGAGCUGAAGCGCAUGCGUUUUAUAAUGCAUAUACUACACGUGUUAGAUUCGUCAUACGUGUAAGUAAGCUGUUACAGAUCACUAGAUUUUAA
This is a non-coding RNA of Vicia faba (fava bean), 234 nucleotides long. Lineage: Eukaryota; Viridiplantae; Streptophyta; Magnoliopsida; Fabales; Fabaceae. The record is from the annotation of a GenBank genome assembly.